This is a long non-coding RNA of Alligator mississippiensis (American alligator), 645 nucleotides long. RefSeq lists it as uncharacterized. The record is from RefSeq and is a predicted model, not a curated record. NCBI's taxonomy places the organism in Eukaryota, Metazoa, Chordata, Crocodylia, Alligatoridae. The transcript has 2 exons.
GGGGAGAGCCCUUUGGGAGCAAGUGAGCUAAGGCUGAAGGCAGGGAGCUGGGCAUGCUCCCUUAUGUGUGCUGAAGCUGCUGCCCUUUCUGAAUCAGCUCCCAGCUUCACCCAGGGGCUGGGGACAGCAAAUUUGAGGCCUGAACUGGGCAAGAAAGAGGGAGAAAGACAAACAGAAUAGAAGAGGUCUGCAAGCUAGGGCCCAGCUGCCUGCAGGUGCUCUGAGAACUCCCAGACAGAUCAUAAAUAACCCUCUGGCCUCAGCAUGGAAGAGACUGUGCAGUGCAAGAAUGAGCUGAGGCCAAUUGAUGUCCUGGGAAAGAAGAAUGAGCUAGAGAGGACUGGGAUGCUGACUGAAGGCCUGGCCAUCACCAUUUGCCGGGCCCUGGAGCUGGUGGUGGACUUCAAGAAGGACAUCACAAUGUACAGGCACUUAGAGAAUAUCCAGCUUGUUGUCCAGGCCGAUGGGUGCUGGCUAGAGUUCAGAGCAGGAGCUGCCAGUAUCACAGUGCUGGUGUGGUAUGACCAGAACAAGAAGGAAGCUAACGUCUCCACCCCAUUUUGGAAAGAGAGGUGAAUGUAAUGGAUGUCCCCCGACAUCUCAGUCCCUCCCCAAAUAAAUGCCUCUGAUGGCUACAAAUUACAA